This 301-nucleotide ribosomal RNA is filed under the name uncultured bacterium. Its description in RNAcentral is "partial 16S ribosomal RNA". It matches the Rfam family "Bacterial small subunit ribosomal RNA", at positions 509 to 807 of the family's 1533-position model. The record is from RNAcentral.
CAGCAGCCACGGGAAUACAGAGGGUGCGAGCGUUAAUCGGAUUUACUGGGCGUAAAGCGUGCGUAGGCGGCUUCUUAAGUCGGAUGUGAAAUCCCUGAGCUUAACUUGGGAAUUGCAUUCGAUACUGGUUAGCUAGAGUGUGGGAGAGGAUGGUAGAAUUCCAGGUGUAGCGGUGAAAUGCGUAGAGAUCUGGAGGAAUACCGAUGGCGAAGGCAGCCAUCUGGCCUAACACUGACGCUGAGGUACGAAAGCAUGGGGAGCAAACAGGAUUAGAUACCCCAGUAGUCCCUGUCUCUUAUAC